AGGCCAGUGGAGAAGCCCCUGUUGGCAGAGCCUCCUCCAGGAACGUGCUGCCCUGGCCCUAAAGGCCACAAUUCCACAAACCUCUCAGGGGAUGUGUCUGAGUCCAAUGCCCAGCCCGGUAAGAACAAACCCUGGAUGAGGUCCAGCCCCUGCCCCUCCUCCUAAAAGUCUCUGUCCAAACUCCAGUCCCAGAAGAGCAUUCAUAGAGUCCAGUUCUAGAAGGUUCCUCAGCACCUGACGGCUCACUUCCUCAAGUGUCAUCUGCAGAGUCGGGGCCUAGCAGGGCACUGCACCCGUGGGCUUGCUGAGAAACAAACUCACAGAAGGCGGAUUCAUUGGACAAAAGGUAUUUGGUCCCCAAAUUUAUUGACGUGUGUGAACAGGAGCCUUCAGGACGAAGACCCAAAGAUAUGGGGAAAAUUGCCAUUUUUGAUGCUUAGGCUCAACAAAAUAUGGACAUCCAUGAGGGAACACAGAUUAAUCAAAGGACCUGCGCUAAUGCUACUGGACCACAAGGGGAAGCGCAGCGAGGGUUGUUGGUCUAGAUUUCUUGAACUUUCUGAGCAGCAUUCCUUCCCUCUGGGCGUGGGGUAGGACCCUCCUGGAAUGGGGUCUUAUGCCCUACAGUCAAACAAGGCAGGUCAGAUAAUUUCUUUAUGGCCAGUUUCUGAACACAAAGGUGGAGCAAUAUUUUUAGGUUUGAUGUCUGGCUGUGGGGAAAGGGGGGCUCCGAUUUCUAUGACCUGCCCUGGGGAAAAUGGAUUCUAGUUUCUAUGACCUGCUUCGGGGAAGAAUGGCGCUGAGAGACAGCAGAGCAAGAGAAGGUCAGAGAAAAAACCUUUUGCUUCCGAAGCUGCUUCUGAAGCUGCUUCAUUUUGGGGUAUUAUUUUCUGAUCCCCGACACCUGAGCUGCUGAACCAAGGGUAGCCUGACCCACUCCCACAUGACUUAGAAUAGCUUCACCAGCCGGCCUUGGGCUACCUGGCUCUGGCCCCCUGCCCACCAGGAUUUUGGCCGGCUCUCACUUGCCUCUGCGGUGUCUGUCUCACUCUCUCUCACUCCUGCAGUUUUCUGUUCUGUUGAGUGAUGAUUGACACAUGACAUUGGUUUUGACAUUUGAGCCUGUGCCCAGCCACAGGUAGGUGGGGCAGGAGUCCUGAGUGAGCAUCUCCCUCCUUAGUGACAGUCAGGGGGCACAGAGAAUGGUGCCCAGACCAAGGUCAGGGCCUGGGCCAAGUGUGCUCAGCACGUGGUGUGUGUGCUCAAGCGG
Molecule: long non-coding RNA, 1270 nt
Filed under: Macaca fascicularis (crab-eating macaque)
Lineage: Eukaryota; Metazoa; Chordata; Mammalia; Primates; Cercopithecidae
Description: lncRNA (ENSMFAG00000047621.1)
Source: RNAcentral